Molecule: ribosomal RNA, 473 nt
Filed under: uncultured bacterium
Lineage: Bacteria
Description: bacterial SSU rRNA
Rfam family: Bacterial small subunit ribosomal RNA
Source: RNAcentral
AGGACGAACGCUGGCGGCGUGCUUCAUACAUGCAAGUCGAACGAGAAGCUGACUUCGGUCAGUGGAAAGUGGCGGACGGGUGAGUAACACGUAGGAAAUCUGCCCUUUGGAGGGGGACAACAGUUGGAAACGACUGCUAAUACCCCAUAUGAGCUAAGCUGAAAUGCUUAUCUUGAAAACUCCGGUGCCAAAGGAUGAGCCUGCGCCUGAUUAGCUAGUUGGUGGUGUAAUGGACUACCAAGGCGACGAUCAGUAGCUGGUUUGAGAGGAUGAUCAGCCACAAUGGGACUGAGACACGGCCCAUACUCCUACGGGAGGCAGCAGUAGGGAAUUUUGCGCAAUGGGGGAAACCCUGAACCGCAGCAACGCCGCGUGAUUGAUGAAGCCCUUCGGGGUGUAAAGAUCUGUCAGUAGGGACGAAUUUUGACGGUACCUACAGAGGAAGCACCGGCUAACUCCGUGCCAGCAGCGGC